This is a long non-coding RNA of Anthonomus grandis grandis, 1053 nucleotides long. RefSeq lists it as uncharacterized. NCBI's taxonomy places the organism in Eukaryota, Metazoa, Arthropoda, Insecta, Coleoptera, Curculionidae. The record is from RefSeq and is a predicted model, not a curated record. The transcript is spliced from 3 exons.
UCCUGAUCGAAAGACCAUCGUGAAUAACUGCGCAGACUUGUCUGAACAGGCCGAACUCGGCAUGUGUGUAUCGUAGGGUAAUUUAUCAGUAUAUGAUUAGUUUUUGCUAGAUUAAUACCGUGCGUGAUUACAAAACUAUGAGCCGUCAAUUUGUAGAAGAUUUUAUUAAAAUAUAUAAAAGCGAGUCUUGUCUUUGGCAAACAAAGUGCAAGGAAUACCACGACAGAAAUAAAAAAAAUGCGGGAUAUGUAAGAUUGGCAGAGAUAUUAAAAUAGAUUGAGCCGAAUGCUACAAAAAUGCUGUGAUCAAAAAAAUAAAUAACCUGAGAAGUGCCUAUAGAAAGGAAAAUAAAAAACUUAAGAGUCUUUGAAGUGACGACGUAUACAAGCCGAAGCUGUGGUACUUUUGGAUGUUAAGUUUCCUAGGUGAUCAAGAUAUUGCUCGAACUAACCGCUCAAACUUAGACAGCGAUAAUGAUGAUAUUAACACCCAGGAAUAUUUAGACGAAUUAUCGCAAAACGAAUCAUCCCAAAACAGUGAAACCCAAAGUACUUCUGCUAAUUAUAAAGAAACAUCAUCUGAACCAGUCGUAGGAAGUUCUGCACCGACACCUCGCUCUCAGUUACGAACGGAAUGAGAGGUAGUGCGAUCGGUAAAAGAUCACUUCAAAAGGUCACGACUUGAAGAAGACCAGUUUGACGUUUAUUGCAAAGGCCAUUGCUAUAAAAUUACGAGGGCUUCCAAAACAGCAAAUGCUCAUAGCUGAAAAAAUAGUGAAUGAUACUUUGUUUCAAGCCGAAGUGGGUCAGUUAACUAUGACGCAUAAACUUGUUGAUGAGGCUACAAAUAUGCCGAUUCGACGUCAAUUUGACUGCUACUAUCGCCCAGACACUAAUCUGCAACCCUUAUCAGUAUGUCAAGAAAGUCCGUUAAGUUAUUCGAGUUCGCCCAGCCCCGACCUAGGACGUGUACAAAAUAACCAGCGUCAAUCAUCAGGCAUAAAUAAUAAUUUAUCAGAAGACCAUCAAAGCAUAGGAUCAUUUUUCUCGAAUU